CCUACGGGUGGCAGCAGUGAGGAAUAUUGGUCAAUGGACGAGAGUCUGAACCAGCCACGUAGCGUGAGGGAUGACUGCCCUAUGGUUUGUAAACUUCUUUUAUAUGGGAAUAAAAUGUUCCACGUGUGGGAUUUUGUAUGUAACAUAUGCAUAAGGAUAGGCUAACUCCGUGCCAGCAGCCGCGGUAAUACGGAGGAUCCGAGCGUUAUCCGGAUUUAUUGGGGUUGAAGGGAGCGUAGGUGGAUUAGUAAGUCAGUUGUGAAAGUUUGCGGCUUAACCGUAAGAUUGCAGUGGAAUCUGGCAGUCUUGAGUACAGUAGAGGUGGGCGGAAUUCGAGGUGUAGCGGUGAAAUGCUUAGAUAUCACGAAGAACUCCGAUGGCGAAGGCAGUUCACUGGACUGCAACUGACACUGAGGCUCGAAAGUGUGGGUAUCAAACAGGAUUAGAUACCCGUGUAGUC
This 460-nucleotide ribosomal RNA is filed under the name uncultured bacterium. RNAcentral's name for it is "partial 16S ribosomal RNA". It matches the Rfam family "Bacterial small subunit ribosomal RNA", at positions 338 to 795 of the family's 1533-position model. The record is from RNAcentral.